Molecule: ribosomal RNA, 2829 nt
Filed under: Mesorhizobium sp. M7A.F.Ca.US.011.01.1.1
Lineage: Bacteria; Pseudomonadati; Pseudomonadota; Alphaproteobacteria; Hyphomicrobiales; Phyllobacteriaceae
Also listed under: 1 other name
Description: 23S ribosomal RNA
Rfam family: Bacterial large subunit ribosomal RNA
Source: RNAcentral
GAUCAAGUGUCUUAAGGGCAAUUGGUGGAUGCCUUGGCAUGCACAGGCGAUGAAGGACGUGAUACGCUGCGAUAAGCUACGGGGAGGUGCGAAUACCCUUUGAUCCGUAGAUUUCCGAAUGGGGAAACCCACCUAAGGUACUUGGAAAAUCAGAGCAGCCAGAAGGUCGCAAGGCUGACUUGCUGCUGUGGUUUCCAAGUAUCGAUAAUAGGUAACUUACCCUGAAUACAUAGGGGUAAAGUGGCGAACGCGGGGAACUGAAACAUCUAAGUACCCGUAGGAAAGGACAUCAACCGAGACUCCGGAAGUAGUGGCGAGCGAACCCGGACCAGGCCAGUGGCGAUUGAGAGACAAGCGGAACCUUCUGGAAAGUAGGGCCAUAGUGGGUGACAGCCCCGUACGCGUAAUGCAAUCAAUCGUCCUCGAGUAAGGCGGGACACGUGAAAUCCUGUCUGAAAUUGGGGGGACCACCCUCCAAGCCUAAGUACUCGUGCAUGACCGAUAGCGAACUAGUACCGUGAGGGAAAGGUGAAAAGCACCCCGACAAGGGGAGUGAAAGAGUACCUGAAACCGAUUGCCUACAAACAGUGGAAGCCCAAGGUUCGUCCUGGGUGACCACGUACCUUUUGUAUAAUGGGUCAGCGACUUAGUGUGACGAGCAAGCUUAAACCGCUAGGUGUAGGCGCAGCGAAAGCGAGUCUGAAUAGGGCGUUCAGUUCGUCGCAUUAGACCCGAAACCGAGUGAUCUAGCCAUGAGCAGGUUGAAGGUAAGGUAACACUUACUGGAGGACCGAACCCAUAACUGUUGCAAUAGUUCGGGAUGACUUGUGGCUAGGGGUGAAAGGCCAAUCAAACUCGGAAAUAGCUGGUUCUCCGCGAAAUCUAUUUAGGUAGAGCGUCGACCGAAUACCCCAGGGGGUAGAGCACUGGAUGGGCUAGGGGUCCUCACCGGAUUACCAAACCUAACCAAACUCCGAAUACCUGGGAGUACUAGUCGGCAGACACACGGCGGGUGCUAACGUCCGUCGUGAAAAGGGAAACAACCCUGACCUACAGCUAAGGUCCCCAAGUUAUGGCUAAGUGGGAAAGGAUGUGAGGAUCCCAAAACAACCAGGAUGUUGGCUUAGAAGCAGCCAUCAUUUAAAGAAAGCGUAACAGCUCACUGGUCUAAAUAAGGGUCUUUGCGCCGAAAAUGUAACGGGGCUAAAGCCAUACACCGAAGCUUAGGGUUUGGUCCGCAAGGGCCAAGCGGUAGCGGAGCGUUCUGUAAGCUGAUGAAGCCAUACCCGUGAGGGGUGGUGGAGGUAUCAGAAGUGCGAAUGCUGACAUGAGUAACGUAAGGGGAGUGAGAGACUCCCCCGCCGAAAGACCAAGGGUUCCUGCUUAAAGCUAAUCUGAGCAGGGUUAGCCGGCCCCUAAGACGAGGCGGAAACGCGUAGUCGAUGGGAACCACGUUAAUAUUCGUGGGCUUGGAGGUAGUGACGGAUCAUUGAGGUAGUCCAAUCUUAUCGGAUUGAACGGGCUGCUGCGUGGUUCCAGGAAAUAGCUCCUCCUUAUAAACCGUACCCGAAACCGACACUGGUGGUCUGGUAGAGUAUACCAAGGCGCUUGAGAGAACUAUGCUGAAGGAACUCGGCAAAUUGCACGCGUAACUUCGGAAGAAGCGUGACCCUUUUCUACGCAAGUAGAGGAGGGUGGCACAGACCAGGGGGUAGCGACUGUUUAUCAAAAACACAGGGCUCUGCGAAGUCGCAAGACGACGUAUAGGGUCUGACGCCUGCCCGGUGCUGGAAGGUUAAGAGGAGGGGUGCAAGCUCUGAAUCGAAGCCCCAGUAAACGGCGGCCGUAACUAUAACGGUCCUAAGGUAGCGAAAUUCCUUGUCGGGUAAGUUCCGACCUGCACGAAUGGCGUAACGACUUCCCCGCUGUCUCCAGCAUAGACUCAGUGAAAUUGAAUUCCCCGUGAAGAUGCGGGGUUCCUGCGGUUAGACGGAAAGACCCCGUGCACCUUUACUAUAGCUUUACAUUGGCAUUCGUAGUGGCAUGUGUAGGAUAGGUGGUAGGCUUUGAAACCUGGGCGCCAGCUCAGGUGGAGCCACCCUUGAAAUACCACCCUUAUUACUAUGGAUGUCUAACCGCGGCCCGUUAUCCGGGUCCGGGACAAUGUAUGGUGGGUAGUUUGACUGGGGCGGUCGCCUCCUAAAGAGUAACGGAGGCGCGCGAUGGUGGGCUCAGAACGGUCGGAAAUCGUUCGCUGAGUGCAAUGGCAUAAGCCUGCCUGACUGCGAGACUGACAAGUCGAGCAGAGACGAAAGUCGGUCAUAGUGAUCCGGUGGUCCCGCGUGGAAGGGCCAUCGCUCAACGGAUAAAAGGUACGCCGGGGAUAACAGGCUGAUGACCCCCAAGAGUCCAUAUCGACGGGGUUGUUUGGCACCUCGAUGUCGACUCAUCGCAUCCUGGGGCUGGAGCAGGUCCCAAGGGUAUGGCUGUUCGCCAUUUAAAGCGGUACGUGAGUUGGGUUCAGAACGUCGUGAGACAGUUCGGUCCCUAUCUGCCGUGGGUGUAGGAAUAUUGAAAGGAUCUGUCCCUAGUACGAGAGGACCGGGAUGGACGGAUCUCUGGUGGACCUGUUGUGGCGCCAGCCGCAUAGCAGGGUAGCUAUAUCCGGACGGGAUAACCGCUGAAGGCAUCUAAGCGGGAAACCCACCUUAAAACGAGUAUUCCCUGAGAACCGUGGAAGACGACCACGUUGAUAGGCCGGGUGUGGAAGAGCGGCAACGCUUGAAGCUUACCGGUACUAAUAGUUCGAUCGGCUUGAUCGUUCUCAUU